This 460-nucleotide ribosomal RNA is filed under the name uncultured bacterium. RNAcentral's name for it is "partial 16S ribosomal RNA". It matches the Rfam family "Bacterial small subunit ribosomal RNA", at positions 338 to 795 of the family's 1533-position model. The record is from RNAcentral.
CCUACGGGUGGCAGCAGUGAGGAAUAUUGGUCAAUGGCCGUAAGGCUGAACCAGCAAAGUCGCGUGAAGGAAGAAGGAUUUAUGGUUUGUAAACCUCUUUUAUAGGGGAAUAAAGGUAUCCACGUGUGGAUAUUUGCAUGUCCCCUAUGAAUCCGCAUCGGCUAACUCCGUGCCAGCCGCCGCGGUAAUCCGGAGGAUGCGAGCGUUAGCCGGUUUUAUUGGGUUUAUAGGGUGCGUAGGUUGUUUUUUAAGUCAGCGGUGAAAGUUUGUGGCUCAACCAUAAAAUGGCCGUUGAUACUGGAAGACUUGAGUGUGGUUGAGGUAGGCGGAAUGCGUGGUGUAGCGGUGAAAUGCAUAGAUAUCACGCAGAACUCCGAUUGCGAAAGCAGCUUACUAAGCCGUAACUGACACUGAAGCACGAAAGCGUGGGGAUCAAACAGGAUUAGAUACCCGAGUAGUC